UAAAGGAAAGGAAAUCUUACACAUAGGCAUAUGUUUGAUGCUUGUUGUUUGGUGACACCUAUUGGUGUUUUGAGAAAGUACAGGUUAACCGGGAUGUGAUUGACAUAAGAAUUCAAAGCCCUGUAUGGACUGGCUCGUGAAAUAAUGAAGCUACCGACUGAAACAAUAACCUCGCUGUUUAAUCUACAACGUUAAGUUAGCAGUUGUAGUUGAGAGGCAGACAUCGUGUCAAUCGCAGGUUAACUCGACGGAAAAGAGAAUUCAUUUACAAAUCAAUAAAAUUACAAGGCUAUCGCUAACAGAUAACGUUAUACUAAUUUUACUUUAUUUGCAUAUCAGUGUAGCCGCUAGAGGUGGGCAGGUAAUUAGAUGACACGGUAACGUCAUACGCGAAUACAUGCAUAUAAGCAUUUUCUAAACAGGCAGACAGCGAGCCGUCAAUCUUGGGGUCCUCACAAUCUUACACCGGUUGAGAGUUGUGAGUGGAACGUUUGUGUGCGGCGUUGAUAAAUGGUUUGUGCCGGUCCCUGUGUAGGACUGCAGGUUGUUUUGCCUAUCCGGGAGUGCAUGUACUGUAUGUAAGCUGAAGAAACCACGGUUGGAGAUGACGUGGCCAGCGUUGACUGACCUUACCGCAUACAGCCAUUGAGAGCCAUCCGGUAAUGUAGAUUGUUUUAUUCAUGCUUUUAUAUUGGUGGCUUCUUGGUUUGGGUGUGGAUGCUUUCUGUGCAUGUAGCUUGAGCAGUGCCUUUUGUUUUGCUUAUAGGUUUAUUUUGAGUAGGUGGCCGAUGCAUGGAUUGACCGCUGUUCCUUCCUUCCGUUUUAUGUACAUGUUGUAAAUUAGCUGCCCACCUACCGCGAGUGAGUGUGCUUCCGCUCAUAGUAUCUUGCCUUGUGUUGAUUAGCUAGUACACGGAGCUGGUCGGCUAGCUUGAGCAUUUCUUUUUGUUUAAUUGUUUUUUGUUUUCAUGUUAGCCAUUCUCCCCCGCUCUAACUCAAUCAGCUAACCCAGUCUUGCUUUAACUAUUCUUUGCGCCCCUUCUAGAUUGCUGUGCUUGACUAAGAGCGUUUGGUUUUGCUUUAACUAUUUGUGUGUUCUUCUACUUUGCUCUGUGGAGUUUGCAGUGUGAUUACAAUUGCAGUGUACCUUAAUGGAGUGUGUAAUUCACAGGUGUAUAUAUUCCCUUCUCUAAGGUCGCAGCAAACACAAGUAAGGUACAAGCCAGCUGGGUAGUCUGUUUGCAGUAAGGGGUGGAAAUGUUAAAUGUGCAUGUUAUUGCUCAUUAAACCAUUUUAUGAAUUGGAGAAAAUAAAGGAAGCUGGCAUUUUGCUAUCUUCCCUACCAUAGUUUUUUACGAAAUUUGUUAAUAAAAAGGAUCUGUUUUUCUCUUA
This is a long non-coding RNA of Anguilla anguilla (European eel), 1392 nucleotides long. RefSeq lists it as uncharacterized. The transcript has 2 exons. Lineage: Eukaryota; Metazoa; Chordata; Actinopteri; Anguilliformes; Anguillidae. The record is from RefSeq and is a predicted model, not a curated record.